UGGGGAAUAUUGCACAAUGGGCGCAAGCCUGAUGCAGCAACGCCGCGUGAACGAUGAAGGUCUUCGGAUCGUAAAGUUCUGUUGCAGGGGAAGAUAAUGACGGUACCCUGUGAGGAAGCCCCGGCUAACUACGUGCCAGCAGCCGCGGUAAUACGCAGGGGGCUAGCGUUAUCCGGAUUUACUGGGCGUAAAGGGUGCGUAGGUGGUCUUUCAAGUCGGUGGUUAAAGGCUACGGAUCAACCGUAGUUAGCCUCCGAAACUGGAAGACUUGAGUGCAGGAGAGGAAAGUGGAAUUCCCAGUGUAGCGGGGAAAUGCGUAGAUAUUGGGAGGAACACCAGUAGCGAAGGCGGCUUUCUGGACUGCAACUGACACUGAGGCACGAAAGCGUGGGUAGCAAACAGG
Molecule: ribosomal RNA, 403 nt
Filed under: Verrucomicrobiota bacterium
Lineage: Bacteria; Pseudomonadati; Verrucomicrobiota
Description: Verrucomicrobia bacterium partial 16S ribosomal RNA
Rfam family: Bacterial small subunit ribosomal RNA
Source: RNAcentral